UACGGAGGGUGCAAGCGUUGUUCGGAAUUAUUGGGCGUAAAGCGCGUGCAGGCGGUCGGAUAAGUCAGAUGUGAAAGCCUUCCGCUUAACGGAAGAAGUGCAUUUGAAACUAUUCGGCUAGAGUACGGGAGAGGAGAGUGGAAUUCCCGGUGUAGAGGUGAAAUUCGUAGAUAUCGGGAGGAACACCAGUGGCGAAGGCGGCUCUCUGGUCCGAUACUGACGCUGAGACGCGAAAGCGUGGGGAGCAAAC
This 250-nucleotide ribosomal RNA is filed under the name uncultured bacterium. Its description in RNAcentral is "partial 16S ribosomal RNA". It matches the Rfam family "Bacterial small subunit ribosomal RNA", at positions 524 to 773 of the family's 1533-position model. The record is from RNAcentral.